CCGCCGCGGCUCGCCGGCCGCUGCCUCAGCGCUGCCCGGGGGCCGCGAGCCUCCUCCCGGCGCCGCCCUGGGGCUUCCCCAGCAGCGGGGAGGCGGACGUUGAGUAUAUAGAAUAACGAGUGUUAUCGAAAGAAAAGGGUGGAAGUAGAGCGAAUGAAUGCACGGAGGAUUUUAAUGGAACGCCUUUGUAAACAAACCCUAUUGAAAGAAGCAGAAGAUGGCCUGAGUAGUUGGGCACCUGCCAUCCCCAUUGGAGACCCAGAUUCAGUUCCAGGCUCCUGGCCCAGCCCCAGCUCUGACCACUGAAGCCUUUUGGGAAGUGAACCAGCGGAUGGAAGACCUCUUUCUCUCUCACCCUCUCUCUGUGUAAUUCUUCCUUACCAAAUAAAUAAAUAU
Long non-coding RNA from Lepus europaeus (European hare), 396 nucleotides. RefSeq lists it as uncharacterized. The record is from RefSeq and is a predicted model, not a curated record. The transcript has 3 exons. NCBI's taxonomy places the organism in Eukaryota, Metazoa, Chordata, Mammalia, Lagomorpha, Leporidae.